Molecule: ribosomal RNA, 253 nt
Filed under: uncultured bacterium
Lineage: Bacteria
Description: partial 16S ribosomal RNA
Rfam family: Bacterial small subunit ribosomal RNA
Source: RNAcentral
UACGAAGGGGGCUAGCGUUGCUCGGAAUUAUUGGGCGUAAAGAGCUUGUAGGCGGUUUGUCGCGUCUGCCGUGAAAGCCCAGGGCUUAACCCUGGGUCUGCGGUGGGUACGGGCAGACUAGAGUGUGGUAGGGGAGACUGGAAUUCCUGGUGUAGCGGUGAAAUGCGCAGAUAUCAGGAGGAACACCGAUGGCGAAGGCAGGUCUCUGGGCCACUACUGACGCUGAGAAGCGAAAGCAUGGGGAGCAAACAGG